This is a non-coding RNA of Cavia porcellus (domestic guinea pig), 134 nucleotides long. The record is from Ensembl. NCBI's taxonomy places the organism in Eukaryota, Metazoa, Chordata, Mammalia, Rodentia, Caviidae.
GUGACUGUUCCUGGUAAUGAUUGCAUUUGUCAGUUGUACAGUGUAACCACAGACAGUCACACACAUCAAAACAUGGUUCCUGCUGACAGAGUCUAUAGAGUUAUCAGAUUUUCUGUGCGAUGGCUCCAUACACU